UGAGUUCGAGGCCAGCCAGGGCUACACA
RNAcentral lists this non-coding RNA (28 nucleotides) under Cricetulus griseus (Chinese hamster). Lineage: Eukaryota; Metazoa; Chordata; Mammalia; Rodentia; Cricetidae. The record is from RNAcentral. RNAcentral also lists the same sequence under 1 other name.